UAAACUAGGAUUAGAUACCCUAUUACUCUAAACUACAAAUAAGAUAAUAAAUUUUAAAUUAACAAAAUUGGCGGUUCUUUUACUGUUUAGAGGAGUUUGUUUCAUUAAGGAUAUUACCCCAUUAAGUUUACUUUAGUUAAAGUUUUUAUAUCGCUGUUGUUAAAAAUAUUAUUGAAUUUAAUAUUUUAAAUUUAAGGUUUAAAAAACUUCAAGUCAAGAUGAAGCUAUAUUAAAGUGAAAAUGAACUACAAUAAAAAUUUUUAUAACGGACAGAGAAAUUUAAUUUCUCAGGAAGGCGGAUUUAAAAGUAAAUUUGAUAAAACUUUGAAUUAAGACCAAAAGAAUGUACAUAUCGCCG
This 358-nucleotide ribosomal RNA is filed under the name Austropurcellia cadens. Its description in RNAcentral is "partial 12S ribosomal RNA". Lineage: Eukaryota; Metazoa; Arthropoda; Arachnida; Opiliones; Pettalidae. The record is from RNAcentral.